UCGUGGCAACAAUGCUGCGAGUUCAUCUAGUCAGUGCCCUACUCCUUAUCCCAUCUCAUUGCUGCAAUUCAUGCCCUCUGUAUUGGUUCUCAGCUGUUUUUUUCACCCACCAAUCAAUAUGCAGGGAGAUCAUGAUUCUAGUUUAAUCUGACAUUCAUUGGUAUGUUCGGUUUACUCAUUGCAAAUUUUACCAUUGUUUAUUACCAAGAUUGCGGAAUUCUUAUGUUUUGUGCUGGGAUUACCCCUUCCCAUGGAUCCUAUCGAAAUUCUUAUGUUUGGUGUCUCUCCCAGAUUGAAUUGUAAUUUCGGUGUGCUAUAUACUGUACAACAUGUUUGGCUAUCUAAGGCAAGGGGAAUGGGAAUUGGUGGCGGUACGGGGGUAGGCUUGGGAACUAGACUUUGACUCGUACACUAUUCGAUGUGAUUUGAGACUACUUGCGCAAAUCAAGAGGGAGUGGAAGGGAAAUUUCACAUAUUUGACCUGAGGCCUAAAUCAAUUCAUAAACUGACCUGCUUUCAAAAAAAAUUCACUCUGCUGACCCUUUCGUGUGGCGCCCGACAGCUGGGCGCCGCACCCUACUGUGCAGCGCCCAUCACUUAGGCGUUGCACAUCCUGCCAGCGUGGCAGCCCUGGUCCAGUUGCGGCCCCACAGACAGCACUGCAGCGCCUAAGACUUAGGCGCCGCACUGUGUAUAUUGCAGCGCCCGUACCUUAGGCGUUGCACGUUGACUUAGGCCGCAUCGGGCCAGACCCUCCCAGGCAGUUCUUCCAGUUGCUCUGUUGUCACAGAGAGCGGCGGCGGCGGCGCCCCCUUCGGAUCCCCCCCACACCCCCUCUCAGAUUUGAAGUUUUGAGGCCUGGAUUCGAUCUCCAAUCCUUCCUAGUACGUAAACUCCUCCGUUCCCUUUCUUUUCCUCCAUAAAAUCGUUCGGUGUUCCAGAUUUAGUUUUUUGAUGUAAUAUUGCAAUUGGAGAUGAUAAGUCAUCCAUCUCAGGAGCCAUUUCCUAGUCUGACCUUCAAAUGUGGAAUCCUUUUCUCAUCAAUGGCAAGUACUUUGAAAACAACUAUCAAAAUUUUAUUUAGUUUUACAAGUAUGCAGAGAGCCGACAAGGCAGCAAUGCUAUUGUUCAAAUGUGGUCAAGGCAGGCUUUCGGUGUUUCAGAAUGAGCACACAUUCAUUGCAACCAAAAGAAUUGGUAGUCAUAUCCGGUAGUAUAUGAUUCUUGUUGUGAUGGAGGAUGUGUAGUCAUAUCCGGUGUUCAUAUCCGGUGUUCAUUCGUUAGGUGGAAACUCUUUCGGUGUUGUGAUGGAGGAUGUGUAGUCAUAUCCGGUAGUAUAUGAUUCUUGUUAGUUAAACCUAGAUUGUUUAUUUUUUUAGAUAUAUAUGAGAUGCCUAGUUUUGUAGAUAAUUAUGAGAUGUUGAGUUUUGUAGCUAUAUGUGAGAUGUUGAGUUUUUUUAGAUAUAUAUUAGAUGUUGAGUGUUUUCCGAUAUUUGAGAUGAACUCAUGUAUGUUUAUUGUUUGAAAUUGUAAGGAUGGUUUGGCUUCUGGACCAUGUCUACGACGUGCAACACCGGUCCUACAUGAUGCGCGAGAAGGAUAAGGUAAUAAUGAGUACUCUAAAUCUUUUGCAAAUUUGCCUUUAGUUGAAAUUUACAUGCCCUAAGAUUUGUCAUUACUUGUUUUUUGCAGAAGCUUGAACCUCUGAAGAUUCGGUAUCACGGGGUCUCUGGUCCUGCCAUGCCUUACGAUGAGCGGUACACACCAUACAUCAAGCAGGCAGGACUACUCCCGUGGAUUCUGUUGGUCAGCCGGUCCACGCCGAAUCUGAACGCUCCACUGGUGUCCGCUCUUGUUGAUCGGUGGAGGCCAGAGACCCACAAUUUCCAUCUUCGGACCGGGGAGAUGACCGUGACGCUCGAGGAUGUCUCGUUGAUCACCGGUCUUGCUAUCGACGGGAGGCCUCUAUGUAUGAGCACCGAUUCUGAUGGGUGGCGCGAGCAGAUGAUUGCUCUUAUCGGUAUGGCUCCUACCGAGGCUGAGGAUGAUGUAGAGGAGGGAGAAGAGAAGAAGAAGAGGGAAAGGAAGGCAGCUGGAGCUGCUUUCACGUGGAUUCAAAAUAACUUUGCGACGUGCCCUCCGGAUGCAACUGAUGAUGUGAUCCAGACACAUGCUCGUGUGUAUAUGUGGUACAUUGUGUCGAGGACUUUGUUUCCUGACUCCACUGGCAAGAACGCUCCAUGGAUGUGGCUGAAGGCGUUGACCGUCUUCGAUAGCAAAUGGAGCUGGGGUUCAGCGACUCUUGCCUACUUGUACCGACAGGUAGUUGGUCUGUUUUGUGAUCAACUCAUUUAUUCAUUAGCAAUGCAAGCUGGCUGUCAAGUUAACAUUGUUUUUCUUUCAUAUGUAGCUGGAUGAUGCGUGUUGCAGGAUCACACCUAGUGCAGGCAUUGGUGGUAAUCUGCUUCUACUUUCUGUAUGGAGCUGGGAGCGUCUGCCUGUUGGACGCCCGAAGAGCAUCAGGUUUGAUCCUUGGUAUGCAGAUGAACAUGACGAAUUAUGGCGCCCCACGUGAGCUUACAAGUGGGAUAUCGUUUCCGAGAUGACGAACGAUGUCAAUCUCAUGUACCAAAAGUACAUUGCCGAGUUGGACACGAUUACGCCUGAGCAGGUAAGGAGGUCAUUACUUUAGUCCUUUCUCAUGCUUGCUUGAAAAAUAGUUAUCAAAUUUGCAUUGUUGCCCUGUUUCAUAGGUGGAAUGGCAGCCAUAUGGCGCGGGUGAGAGCUUGGGGUACACCGCGGAGUUCUGCCUCAACCCGAUGUGCUUGCGGGAUAAGGAUCUCUGGCUUAUGCAGUGCCCAUAGAUAUGCAACUGGGCGGUUGAGUUUCAUUUUCCGCAUCGCGUGUAUCGUCAGUUUGGUCUUUUCCAGCCUCACCCGCCGGAUUGGGUGGACACGGAUAAAGCACUUCAUAGGUAAGAGAGCAUGUGUGCGUAUUGUCUAAUCAUCGGGACUCCUUUUGAUUGUGCUAAUGUUUGGUUUUAUACCAUGCAGGUUGGACAGGAGAAGGCAACGGAAGAUAAAGGACUGGGCCAAGCAUCAUUCUGCGUAUGUUACCCGCUUCCAGCUUUGUGUGGAGCAAGCUCGUAGCACUGCACGCGCCCCGCUUCAUGAGCACAACUCACUUGCUUUUGAUAACUACGUAUGAUGGUUUAUUGGAACUACUCGAGUUGAGAUAUGCCCGCCGGCAUAUAAUGAGGAUAUUCUUGAAGAACCCGUAAACUUUGAGGAUCUAGCAAAGGGGAAGUACAACAGAGAUGUCAGGCUAGGGCAAGGAGUGCCUGCUGUUCCGUCGAUUAACUAUGUGGUAAAGUGUUCCCCUCUUUACUUUCCUGUUGACCGUAUUACACAUGUUUGAAUGGCUAACGCAUUCAUUUUUUCUCAUCCGCAGCGCACCGCGAUCAAGAAAGCAGCUGAUGAGAGCCAGUCUAUUCUGGAGAAGACACCGGUUGGAACUGGCAAUGAUGAUGGUUCACUACGAGCAUUCCUCAAGGUACAUAUCGCAUUCACUAUGAGAGCCAGUCUAUGUUGCGAAGUUUGAUAUCUUACACACUUGUUCAUGUUACAGCGUCAGGCCAAGAAGUUAAGGCGGUUAUCGAACCUUCCCGGUUGUCGUGAUCCUGAAUAUGAUGAACCAUCUGCCUCUAGGUCUGGUACACCAUCAGACCCCGCACCUCACCAUGAGGGGGACGAUGUGAGUUCCUCAUAUGCUUAUGUGGAUGAUGAGGGUGGGAUCACCCAAGAGGUAUGACUAAUCCUUUAGAUGUGAUUCUCACUUGAUUACGACAUCGGCCUUCACCAUAUUGUUUUGUUGUGUGAUAGGGCAAUGAGCUUGAUGAUGACAUGACUUUGGCGGACGCUCAAGCUCGGUCUGCAUAUGUGUUCAAGCCUAGGCAGCCCAGACGCCGGUACACGCCCAACGACUAUGACAACAGAGGCAACCCAAAGGUGGUCGUAGGGACCUCGCGGAUGGCUAGAUUGGAUGAUGAGGCGAAGGAGGAGGCGGAGGCGGAGCCGCAGGCGGAGGAGGAAGUGCACGAAUAGGAGCCUCGUGCUCCUAAAAAGAAGAAGAUUACCUGCAGGCGUGGCACCAGGAACAUGCAUGGAAGGCAUUAGUGCUUUGUGUUAGGUUGAUGAACUUGUGAGGUUAUGUUAUAUGAUGAACUUGUGAACUUGUGAGGUUGAUUAACUUGUGAGGUUAUGUUAUGGUAUUUGUGUUUGCAAACUUGAAGCAAACUUGAAUUGUCUUAAAUGAUGUGAUGUUCAAGUUAUUAGUUCUCUUUGCUUAGCAUGUCCAGUUUAUAGUACUUUUAUUGAUGUUUUAGUUAUUUGAGUGCUGCUGCACCCCACCCAAAAUGGCAUCUGUUUCUGCAGUUUUGCUUAUAGCAACACUGCAGCGCCCAACAUUUAGGCGCUGCACUGUACUGUGUGGCACCCAACUGUUAGGCGCUGCACUGUACAGUGCAGCGCCCUACCCUUAGGCGCUGCACUACUGCCAUGGCUAUCCAUAAAGCCAACAGUUACUCCCAUGGCUACUCCCACUACAUCCAUAAUACUUACAAUGACUGCAGCAUCACAGCAAUAUGAACAAACACAAAUUUUCUGCCGACGAUGUUCAUAACUUAAGAUAAUUCAAACAUUAGUACGACAUGGUUCACGACACAUUCAUUACAAAUGACAAAUGGCAGCUUGCCCUAGAAGAUAGUUCACCAACAUCUCACAUGCCCUGACAACUUCACAACACAUUCAUUAGAAGAUAGUUGACGAGGAGUGCACCGAAGCGAAGUCCCUACUGAGUAGAGCGAGGCCAUUUCCCCUUCUUGUCACGUGCCGAGUCCUCCUCUUGCGCCUCGCGAGCCUUUGCAAGCUUUCUUGCCCUCUCCUCCUCACGAGCAAGUUUCGCUUGGCGUGCCCUCUCCUCCUCUCGUUUCUUCCGCUCCAUCCUCUCCUUCUGACAACGCUCUUCCUCCAAGCCCCUUCGAAACGAUUCUUCGAACCUCCGUUGCCGCCUAAGACAAUCUGCGUAUUGGUCCUCUUUCACAUCUUCUGGCACUUCAAGAUCUAUCCACGUGAAGUACUUGCAUAGAGGAGGCGGUGACUGCAUAAAAAUUUGUUGUUAGUGUUGACACACAUUUCAGAGUAACAUUUUACUUCUCGAGCUUACCGGUGGUUGGUCAUAGGCGUUAGUUGGAAGUGCACGAUCAUAAGCAUAGUUCGGGCAUACAAAAUAUCUCCGCCCUUCCGUCUAUGCUUUCUUUCGGUCGGUGGACACCUUCACCUUGCAAACAUCUGCACACCAACAUUGCAGGAUGUUGACAUCUUUCUCCUUCACCUUGUCCAAAGAUGCAUCCUCCCACUUGUUCGGCAUGUCUUCUUGGUUAGCACACGGUGGCCUCGUCAUGGAACCGGAUGAAGCCAUGCCUACAAAACAGAGAAUUAUUGGUCAACCCUAACCCCCACUUAACAAUGAACACAACCUAAGACCAACAUAACCCUAACACCAACAUCAAACACACAUAACCCUAACCCUAGCAUACUAUGAAAGCCUAACCAUACCAAAUUAGCAAAGAAACAAAAAUUUCCAAAUCCUAUCAAAAACUAGGGUUUCCCCCACACUAGCAAGAUCUGAGCAAAUGUGACAAUUCCUAUGGAUGAAAACGAGGGGAUCGGAGGAGAUUACCUUAAGGGAGGGGAUUGGCUUCGAAAUCCACGGUCAAAUACUCCGGAUCUGAGAAGGAUUUGAGAGGGGGAGAGAGGAGGGCAGAGGGGAGGCACUGAGCUUCGGGUUUGUGUUGAGGGUGGGGGUGUGUGGGGUGAGGAUGGGUGGGAGGGAGUUGGUGCAGCCUAAUAAAUGUCCAGAUGUGCAGCGCCCAAGGGAAAGGCGCCACACUACAAAGUGCAGCGCCUUGCCCUUAGGCGCUGCACACCUGGACAUGCCAGUCCAGAGAGCACCAGGAGCGUUCCAGUAGCUUUACCACCCCGAAAACUGCUAAGUCAGUGUGCAGCGCCCAAAGGCUAGGCGCUGCACCUAACAGUGCAGCGCCUGAGGCCUAGGCACUGCACUGUGUAGUGUGGCGCCCUGACCUUCGGUGCUGCACACGGACUUAGCAGUUUUUGGGGGUGCAAAACCUACUGGAAUGGUCCUGAUGCUCUUUGGACUGGCAUGUCCAUGUGUGCAGCGCCUAAGGGCAAGGCGCUGCAUUGUGUAGUGUGGCGCCUUGACCUUAGGCGCUGCACGCCUGGACAUGCCAGUCCAGAGAGCACCAGGAGCGUUCCAGUAGCUUUUCCACCACAAAAACUGCUAAGUCAGUGUGGAGCGCCUACCCGUUGGGCGCCACACUACAUAGUGCAGCGCCUUGCCCUUCGGCGCUGCACUAACUGAUGUUUUCAAAUACCUACUAUUUUUUUUGUUUUGUGAUUCAUAAAGAUGCCACAUAAUCACAUCCAAAACACAGAAAUACUAGUCCAAAUCACAUACUCAUACACACAUAGCACAUAUACUUGUCCAAAUCACAUAGGGUCUCACAUAAUCAUACACGGAAAUAUUAGUCCCCUCACAUAGUCAUACACACAUAGGGUCUCCAUGUAGUUUCUUCUUCUUCCUCUCUUCUUCUUCUUAUUCUUCUCCCUCCUCGCACCACCAAGGGGUCUCACCUUCCCCCUCCGUGUCCUCCACCCCCUUCAUUGUUUCCAUACCUACGAAAAUGGCAAUAUAAUAGUUAGUCACACAAUACAAAAUGACAACACAAGCAUUGAGCCAAAAGAACAAGAUCAUAGUAAGACACAUACGGCAAUGGUCCAUUGAGCCAAGAGAACAUUCCUCCACUACGGCCGCCGCCAAGGCCAAGAUCACCACCACGGCCUCCACCAGCACCACGGCCUACACCACCACCACCGCGGCCUCUACCACCACCACCACGGCCUCUACCACCACCACCACCACGGCCUCUACCAGCACCACGGCCAAGACCAUCACCACGACCUCUACCACCACCACGGCCAAGACCAUCACCACGGCCAAGACCAUCACCACGGCCAAGACCAUCACCACGGCCUCUACCACCACCACGGCCAGAACCAUCACCACGGCCAAGACCUUCACCACGGCCUCUACCACCACCACGACCUCUUCUAAGACCAAGUUGACUCCCUCUUUGUUGCCUAGUUCCUCGUUGACUUGUUUGAUUUGAGUGGUUUGGCACUCCACCACUUAUUUGACUUGGUUGGCUACCCCUUGGUUCACUUGGUUGGCUAUCAUUUGCUUGGCUUGUGCUUGAACCAUUUUUCUUUGAUCUCUUUCUUGGUUUGGGACAAGUUCUUGUGUUGUGUCCCCCAUUACUGCAACCCCCACAACGGGAUUCCUCACGAGGCUCUUGGAAUUGGCCGGUGCCGUAUUCUCCACCGCCACCAUGGCCCCAUCCGUCCAUGUCACCUCUAAGACGCUUAGUCUUACGUCUUCCCCGGCUAACGACCUUCAAUUCCAGGUCCGGCCAUAGUUGAACUCCAUGAUACUCCGGCCAUUGUGAUUGGUCCAAGUAUGGCUGGAACCGUGGAGUCCAUGUCUUCUUUACCGUCAUGAUUGAGAACUCGGACUCCCUCAUGGUUAGAGGGUGAUUGACGUCCACAUUCCUAACCCGGGAUGCAUUUAACAAGUGCGAGCAUGGGAGAUGAAGCAAAGACGGCCUCAUGCAGCUGCAAUCACACCGUGUUAGGGAGACCUUGAAAGCCCGGCCUCCGUGCUGGCGGCCAUCAUUUGUGGUUCCUCCGGGCUCUUUCACCUCAUACUUCCACUCGUUGUCGUCAUAUAGAACAGCUUCUUCGGAGUCUGCCUUUCAUGAUUGAAAUUUCAACCAUUCUUCAACCUUUGGUGGGAAAUUGUACUUGUGCUUAUCCUUGUUCUCACCAGCAAUCUGCUUAUCAGUCUCCAUUGAGUGCUUCAAAAAGUAUUCAUUCAUCUUGUCAAAUGUGUAUUGAACUAUUGCCGUCACGGGUAAUGCACGUACACCCUUGAGAACCUUAUUGAAGCAUUCUGCCAUAUUGCUUGUCAUUUGACCGUUCCUCCGGCCAUCUUCAUCGAAAGCACGUGCCCACAUAUUCCUUUCGGCAAUGUUCUUAUUGAGAAACUCCUGACCGCCGGGGUCAAGUUUCUUGUGUCUGAGCAAUGCAUUGAACAAUGUGGAAAACCGCUUGUUGGUGAAAGCGAGACAACAAUCCUGAAGAUCAUCGGCCAACUCCUUGAUACCACAUGCCCUAUAGAAGUUUGCACAAAAGUGCCUCAUGCACCAUCGAUGAUGCAACUUUCUAUGUCCGGGAAUGUCAAUCACCACCGCAUUUAGAAUUCCAGCAUGGCGAUCCGAUAUGACACAAAUUUCCCUUUCAGCCGGUAAUACCCUUGUUCUCAGUUGACGCAAGAACCACUCCCAGUUAUCAUUGUUCUCCACCUCAACCAAAGCGAAAGCCAAAGGCAACACCCGGUUAUUGGCAUCACUUGCUAUUGCAACCAAUAAAGUGCCCUUGUAUUGUCCGGUCAAGAACGUGCCAUCAAUGGCGAUGACGGGCCGACAAUGCUCAAAAGCCCUCACGCAUUGCUCAAAGGCCCAAAAUGCACGGCCAAAUACUCGGACGGUCCUCCCGUAAUGAAUCAAAGUUUGGUGCCCAUGAGGCUCAACCACGUGAACCAUGCCUGGGUUUGUGGUGGCCAUAGCUAACAACAACCUAGGGAGUUGGUUGUAUGCUUCCUCCCAAUUGCCAUACAACAUCUUGAAUGCGGCUUGCUUCGCCUUCCAUGCCUUGCCGUACUUCACCUUGUAAUGAAAGAUGUCUUUCACAAGGUCAAUGACACUCUUGAUGCUCAUUAUUGGAAGUGUGGAUAUUUGGUUGGACAUCCUGUAAGCAAUGAACUCGGACGUGAGUUGUCUGUGUUGUUGGUGCACAAGCUUGCCAUUCGCAUUCUUGUGCCGGCACAUGUGAGUUGGUAGACAACUCACUAUGCGCCAAGUGGGACCUCCUUUCCAUGGCCUUGCACGCACAAUCCAUGGACAUGUUGGCACUUCACAUUUGACCGUGUAACGCACAUUAACAUCCGAGUUGGCCACUUUAUGUGGACGAUAAUGUGUAACCGAGUAGUUGUCGAGCCACAUCUUCAAUUCCAAGAAGGAUUGAAACUCACAACCGAGAUAUAUCCCGUUCUUGCCGUCUUCCAAAUCACGGUGAGAACUUGGACUAGCUCCAAGAGAUAUGCAUUUGCCACCAUCCACAACGGCUUCAUCCGCGAGACUAAGAUCCUUGAACAAUGGUGUCUUGUGAUCCCGCCCCAAUACCUUCUUGAAUGCUUCGGCCUCCUUUGGCGUGAACCCCUCCUCAUCAACUUCUUCAUCGGGACCAUCGUCAUCCAAGUCCGAUGCAUAUGCACGGGAAAAAGGGAUGGAUUGGUCCAUUGUCUCUUGCACAUGAUAUUGGUCGAGAUCACCCACAUUGUUGUCAUGGAGGUCAACUUCGUUGUCAUCCUCCUCGUACUCAUCAUUCUCCUCUUCAAAACCUUCAUUUUGGUUGUUUGGAGUCGGGCUCAAUGUUGGCCAAUCUUGUUGCGUGAAUUGAGGUUCACUCAUUUGAUCUUGGUUCAUGGGUGGGGGAGUGCUAGGAACCAACGGGGAGGGGCUCCGGUUCAAGUCUAAAUUCAAAGUAGACUCAACCUUCUUGGAGACAAAUAACUCAAGAGCCUUGUCUAGAGAUUCGGCAACCGUCUCCUUGUAUGCAACCCAACGUUGCUCGGAGUUCACACGCAUUGUCUUCCAACGGAUGUGCAUUCCAAAACCAACAUUAUGCCUUCCCUCGAACUCAACAACGUCACUUGGGUCCGUCCAAUUCAAAUCUUUCCUCACUUGUUCCAAAAGCUCCGCAUAGCUAGGACUACUCUCAAACACCAUGUCAAGCUCAUUCGGGUCCGUCUCAACAUUGCCUUUCAAAAAGGCCUCUCUAUCCACAUGAUGAACAUAAACACAUGUUCUCCCCAUCCCUACAAUAAUCAAAAACACACAUAUAUCAAGUAAAUACUUAAGAAAAAUAUUUGCACACAUAUGCCCUAACAUAUAAAACAACCAUAACCAUAGCAUAACCCUAACACCAACAUCAAACACACAUAACCCUAACCCUAGCAUACUAUGGAAGCUUAACCAACCCAAGUUAGCAAAGAAACAUAACAUCAUUCAACACAAAUUUGCAAAUCCAAGUCAAAACUAGGGUUUCCCCCAAACUAGCAAGAUUUGAGCAAAUGUGACAAUUCCUAUGGAUGAAAACGAGGGGAUGGGAGGAGAUUACCUUAAGGGAGGGGUUGGCUUCGAAAUCCACGGUCAAAUACUCCGGAUUUGCAAGAUUUGAGAAGGAUUUGAGAGGGGGGGAGAGGGGAAGAGAGGAGGGCCGCAAGCCUUAGGGUUUGGGUGGGGUGGGGGUGUGUGGGGUGGGGGUGGGAGGGGAGAGAGGGUGGGGCCAGCCCAAGUGGAACACAGACUGUGCAGCGCCCACGAGCUAGGCGCUGCACAUUACAUGUGUGGCGCCUAAGACUUAGGCGCUGCACAGGUGCGUGUGGGGCCGCAGCUGGACCAGGGCUGCCACGCUGGCAGGAAGUGUGGUGCCUAAGUGAUGGGCGCUGCACAGUAGGGUGCGGCGCCCAGCUAUCGGGCGUCACACCGAAGGGUCAGCAGAGUGAAUUUUUUUUGAAAGCAGGUCAGUUUGUGAAUUAAUUUCUGCCUCAGGUCAAAUAUGUGAUUUCUGCCGGAGUGGAAGUGGCAAUCAAAAAACUGUGAAUCUGAAACCAGCAAACUGUCACAACAUAGAAAGGUAGUGUCAAUGUUCCAAUAAUUCACACUGAUCUAGCACUAACAUCUGACAUAGUUUUUAGUGACAUAAACAAAGGGACGAGGCCAAGUUUACAACACAUGAAGAACAUCACUUGCAAAUGAAGACAUGCAGAGCAUGGCUGAAAAGGAGAGAGACAAUUACAUAUUGACAACGCAAGAACAACAUACUUGACUCAGGAUGAUGAUAAUGUCAAUAUUAGAUUGCCACUGGUUGGGUAAAGUGGACAAGAAAAAGCAUUAGUCUGUCGUUGCACAUAUCAUUUGGCCUAAUUAAAUACGGCAGCUCUGAUAGUGUUUAAGCACAUUCACACAACUAGCAGACCAUUAAUAAAGAACCAAUUUUAUUGUAGGCCUUCUCUUUUCGUGAGAUGACAGAUAUGCGUCUUCUUUUUGUGAUAUGACAGAUAUGUUUUAGCUAUUCUACAUUAAUUUUUUGUGCAAUGCUGCUAGUACUUUCUGAAGUCUGAAAUGUUUUCUUCGUUCAGGGUUUGAGCUUUGUAAACAAGCUGUAUAGCAGAGUUGGAGUAUACUCACAGUACUGCUGCUGUUUAUAAAUACAUCCGAAAGAUGUAGCAUUAGUUAAUUUCACCUCAUGCCUACUUAAUGAUUAUUGAGAUAUAAAAUGAUGUCUGCUAUAAAGUACUCUACUACUCCAACUGUAUGCUUGCUUAAACAAUUGCAUAUGAACUGUGUGUGAAAAUAGAGGGACAAAGCAGCCAGAUAACAAACAGGGGGGGUCUUUUCUCUAUUUUCUUUGGUAUUUCUUUAGUUCAAAUCCAAAUGUUAACAACCAAGUUCAAUUUUUUAGGGACAGUCUUUAAAGUCAAAGGAGUCAGAGCCGUACAAAAAAAGUAAGUCUAUUAAGACUGUUAUUAGCACUAAAUUGUAACCUUCACUAUUUUUUGCCAACUAUUUAAUUCUACAUGUUGAUAGGACCUAUCUAGUUGAGUAUGGUGGCCCUAUAUUUGUAAUUGGUAUUAUAGAAGACGAGGAGAUUGUAUUAUUUGGUUGAAUAUUUUAUUACUGUAAUGGAAUCACCUGAUAGUGCAUUAGUAAUGCUUAUGAUGUUUUCUUCAGGUGAUAUGGUGGGAUACAUUGGUUCUUUGUCGUCAACAAGGUUUAUCCUUAAGGGGAAAAGGUGUGGCUCAUACCUUAUGAUUUGGUUUUAAAUGUGUAUCCAUUCAGUUUCCUGUGCCACAUAUGUGAAUGUUCCAGGAAUUUUUUUUGAUGUAAUUGUUUCUCUAUCUUUCUCCAUAUAGCAGUUUUGAGUGGGAGGGUCUACUGAUAGAAAAGUAUUGUGACAUAUGAUGAACAUGAGUUGCUAUAGAGAGUUUGCUGUAACUGGUAACAAGUAUAAGCUUCCUUACAAGAUUCAGGGUCAAACUUGUCUGGAUUUUGCCCUAUUUUGAAUGCAGGAUUUUCAUGUCUAUUUUUUCAGGAAACCACACAUCCAGCAGGAGUGAGUAUAUGUUUCCUUUUGUAUGUAAUUCUUAGGGUCCAAACAGGUUAUAGGGAGAAGUAGAUCUGAUGCAAUGAUCAUGAGAACCAUCCCCUCUUUGCAAUUACAUAUAAAAUAUCCAAAACUUGAUGUGUGUCAUUUUAUCCUAGAACAAAGAAACUAUGGUUCAUAAUGGUGGCAGUGCACGACAACUAGAAAAAUGUUCUGUUGCACACAAGGUAUCUUCAUAAUCUCAUAUACCAAAUUAUGAUCAUACUAUAGUGCUCCCAUGUUUAUGUGUUUACUUGUUGCUAUCAGAAUGUUGUCCAGAACCAAGAAACUUCUGAUCAGAAUUUUAGUGCAUGGCAAAGGGAAAUAAGUUCUGCUGCACAUAAGGUAUAUUUCCAUUACCAUACACAAUAUGUUCAAAAUAUAUUGCUUCGAUGGUUAUGUAUCUAAGAAACUUUGGUUGAGAAUAUUAGUGCACGUCAGGGAGAAAAAACUUAUACUGCAAACGAGCUGUAUAUUUUCACAAUCACAUACAAAUUUGUGUUCAAACUGUAGUGCUAGCUUGUUUAUUUGUUUAUCACUAAUUCUUUGCUGUCAGAUUGUUGUCCAUCCAGACCAAAAAAACAACGAAAGGUGCUAAUGCAGGGAGUAAGAGUGCUCAAAGUGGUUCUCCGAGUUGGUUGGUUACCAGUGUACUACAUGUAAGCUCAAACUCAUUUAAUAUGUUCCCCUAUUUUGUUUUGUUUUUUCAUAUGGUAACUUUGAUUUUCUCUAACAGGUAGGAACUAAAGUAUUCUUGAAGAGCCUGAAAAAUCAUUCCAAAUAGCGAGAAUUAGGAUUCUUGAUCCCUCUCAAUCUCUCUUUCAAAUCGAGGAAAUCAGGGAAAGGAUCCUUUCUUCUAUUGAUUUGAUAAAAAUUCGAGGAAUGACGUUCGUAUUGGCUGAUGUUCCUCGGUUAAGUGUUAAUUUAAGUUGUAGGGAUGUUGAUGGAUGUUUCCAGUUUAAGUUUCGAUGCCAAGAAAAUAGUUAGAUUAUGCAUCACAUUUGGAUGAUGUUCCUCCUGUAAUAUCCACUGUUGUAAUCCAACAGUUUUAUCAAAUAUAUGAUUUCUUCCUCUCGUGAAUAUAUUCUCUUAUUU
This 13499-nucleotide long non-coding RNA is filed under the name Triticum aestivum (bread wheat). RNAcentral describes it as "long non-coding RNA (TAES_LNC012113)". Lineage: Eukaryota; Viridiplantae; Streptophyta; Magnoliopsida; Poales; Poaceae. The record is from RNAcentral.